This 115-nucleotide small nucleolar RNA is filed under the name Triticum aestivum (bread wheat). Its description in RNAcentral is "snoRNA snoZ278". It matches the Rfam family "Small nucleolar RNA Z278". From Rfam's summary of the family: snoZ278 is a C/D box small nucleolar RNA. Its methylation guide targets have not been reported. The record is from Rfam by way of RNAcentral. Lineage: Eukaryota; Viridiplantae; Streptophyta; Magnoliopsida; Poales; Poaceae.
GCCAAUGACGCCACACCCAACAUUUGCAGGUGCAGAUAGCUCUAGGAUCCUGUUUACAGGAUGAACCUACCUGGAGGCGCUGUAUCCACAUGACAUUCAUGGGCAAGUCUGAGGU